GCAAAUAUAGUUUAACAAAAACAUUAGAUUGUGAAUCUAGAUUUAGGAUUUAAAUCUCCUUGUAUGCC
RNAcentral lists this transfer RNA (68 nucleotides) under Sarcophilus harrisii (Tasmanian devil). It matches the Rfam family "tRNA". From Rfam's summary of the family: Transfer RNA (tRNA) molecules are approximately 80 nucleotides in length. Lineage: Eukaryota; Metazoa; Chordata; Mammalia; Dasyuromorphia; Dasyuridae. The record is from Rfam by way of RNAcentral.